Molecule: non-coding RNA, 957 nt
Organism: Odocoileus virginianus texanus
Lineage: Eukaryota; Metazoa; Chordata; Mammalia; Artiodactyla; Cervidae
Source: RefSeq, a predicted model, not a curated record
UACCUCUUACCUAGCUUCUGGUGAUUUGUUGUCAAUCUUCAGCCUUCUUUGGCUUGUAGGAGCAUCACCUCAAUCUCUGCCUUCAUUUUCACAAUGUUCUCCCUGUGUAUGUGGUCUGUCUAAAUUUCCCCUUCUGAUGGGGAUACCAGUCAUGUUGGAUUUAAGGCCUGCCCUAAUCCAGUACAACCUUGUCUUAACUAACUACAUCUUUAAUGACCCUAUUUCCAAAUAACACCAUACUCUUUGGGGAGUUUGGAAUUUAAAUCUCCAGCAUGCGAAUUACGAGGGGACCUGACUUAACCCACAACAGUCUCAAUCAGUAAGUUUCAUAGAAAGGGUGGAAAUUUUAGUUUAAUGAAGGGAGUUUCAAAUGUAAAAGAUUAAUUAAUGAAUUUCGCCAUGAGAGUAGGGUCCAGGAUAGGAAAGUACGUGUUGUCAUAUAUUUUUCUGGGAUCAUGCUAUAUUUAUAAGGCUUGACAUUGUAUUUUAUUUUCCAGGAGUGUGUUUGAGGAAAUAGUCACUGGAAAGAAAAGGUCCAAAAUAAAUUAAUCUCAGCUCAUUAUCCUUUAACUUGAAUUUCUCAAUUAAAGUUGAGCAAACAAAUCAGCUGCCGGUUUCAGAAAAUUACCACUGGAGUUCCUCUCUUCUUCAUGCACAACAGAGAGCAAUUAUAAGUCAUGCAAGGGUGAAAAUGUUGCCCUGGCUUCUCUGACUGCGUGUCCCCAUCUGAUUCUGCUGUCUCCUGGACUCCUUCAUCAUCACCUGGAAAACACCAACAUACAGAGAGAAGGAGACAUGAUUAAAGCCCUCUAUUUGACAUUCAAAUCCCCCUACAGGGAUGUCCUUAGCAUAUGUCUAAUUAUAUAUUGUUACAUACAUGGUCAUUAUACUGAACACAGAUCUAUGAUUAAUCAUUUUGAUAACUAUUAUGGCUUUAUAAUAAAUAAAACCAACAUU